This 156-nucleotide ribosomal RNA is filed under the name fungal sp. 1 MLSC-BO5. RNAcentral describes it as "5.8S ribosomal RNA". The stretch from base 56 to 156 matches the Rfam family "5.8S ribosomal RNA", at positions 1 to 101 of the family's 154-position model. Rfam says of the family: 5.8S ribosomal RNA (5.8S rRNA) is a component of the large subunit of the eukaryotic ribosome. Lineage: Eukaryota; Fungi. The record is from RNAcentral.
CAAAACCUUUUGUUAAGAUGGCAUCGUCUAAUCUCUUCAUUACAAUAUGAAAUACAACUUUCAACAAUGGAUCUCUUGGCUCCGGCAUCGAUGAAGAACGCAGCGAAAUGCGAUAACUAGUGUGAAUUGCAGAUUUCAGUGAAUCAUCGAGUCUUU